This is a long non-coding RNA of Pezoporus flaviventris, 305 nucleotides long. RefSeq lists it as uncharacterized. NCBI's taxonomy places the organism in Eukaryota, Metazoa, Chordata, Aves, Psittaciformes, Psittacidae. The transcript is spliced from 3 exons. The record is from RefSeq and is a predicted model, not a curated record.
CCAGCAGCUCCAAACUCUCUUCAGCGAUCUGCUAGACCAAUAGACACCUCUGCAGUGGACAAAGCCCUUCAGCUGGCAGCGCUGUCCAGGAGACAAGCACAGCUUCAAUGCGUCCAGGUGUUUUCUCAAAGCCUGGGAAGGUGAAAGUUGGCCAGUGUUUGUGUUGGUAGCUGGAUGUUCCUCAUGGGUAUCAGCAAGAUUGCAGAAAGGGUUGGACAAUAUUUUCCUAAUUAUGAUGUGAAUACCAGAGUCAGAUUCUGAUGCCUUUUUACCUCUCAGCUUCUGAUGCUGUAAAUGAUCCCCUU